CUACGGGUUGCAGCAGUGAGGAAUAUUGCGCAAUGGGGGCAACCCUGACGCAGCGACGCCGCGUGGAUGAUGAAGGCCUUCGGGUCGUAAAAUCCUGUCAAGUGGAAAGAAGUGCAUGGUGGUUAAUACCCAUCAUGUUUGACGGUACCACUGAAGGAAGCACCGGCUAACUCCGUGCCAGCAGCCGCGGUAAUACGGAGGGUGCAAGCGUUGUUCGGAAUUACUGGGCGUAAAGCGCGCGUAGGCGGUUUUAUAAGUCAGAUGUGAAAGCCCAUGGCUCAACCAUGGACGUGCAUUUGAAACUGUGAGACUUGGGUAUUGGAGGGGGUGGUGGAAUUCCCGGUGUAGAGGUGAAAUUCGUAGAUAUCGGGAGGAAUACCAGUGGCGAAGGCGACCACCUGGCCAAAUACUGACGCUGAGGUGCGAAAGCGUGGGGAGCAAACAGGAUUAGAUACCCCCGUAGUC
RNAcentral lists this ribosomal RNA (465 nucleotides) under uncultured bacterium. RNAcentral's name for it is "partial 16S ribosomal RNA". It matches the Rfam family "Bacterial small subunit ribosomal RNA", at positions 339 to 795 of the family's 1533-position model. The record is from RNAcentral.